CACCGCGGUUAUACGAAAGACCCUAGUUGAUAAGCGCGGCGUAAAGAGUGGUUAGGGGUAAAAUAAAAUAAAGCUGAAAAACCCUCUAAGCUGUUAUAAGCCUCUCGAAGGCAAGAAACCCAAAUACGAAAGUAGCUUUAGACAAAAUUACCUGACCCCACGAAAGCUAAGAAA
RNAcentral lists this ribosomal RNA (174 nucleotides) under Pareuchiloglanis sp. CBM:ZF:17808. RNAcentral describes it as "partial 12S rRNA". The record is from RNAcentral. Lineage: Eukaryota; Metazoa; Chordata; Actinopteri; Siluriformes; Sisoridae.